RNAcentral lists this ribosomal RNA (459 nucleotides) under uncultured bacterium. RNAcentral describes it as "partial 16S ribosomal RNA". It matches the Rfam family "Bacterial small subunit ribosomal RNA", at positions 338 to 795 of the family's 1533-position model. The record is from RNAcentral.
CCUACGGGAGGCAGCAGUGAGGAAUAUUGGUCAAUGGCCGCGAGCCUGAACCAGCCAAGUAGCGUGAAGGAUGAAUGUCCUACGCAUUGUAAACUUCUUUUAUAAUGGAAUAAAGUCAGGCACGUGUGCCUUUUCGUAUGUACUUUAUGAAUAAGGAUCGGCUAACUCCGUGCCAGCAGCCGCGGUAAUACGGAGGAUGCGAGCGUUAUCCGGAUUUAUUGGGUUUAAAGGGUGCGUAGGCGGUCCGUUAAGUCAGCGGUAAAAUGCCGGGGCUCAACCCCGUCGAGCCGUUGAAACUGGCAGACUUGAGUUGGCGAGAAGUACGCGGAAUGCGCGGUGUAGCGGUGAAAUGCAUAGAUAUCGCGCAGAACUCCGAUUGCGAAGGCAGCGUACCGGCGCCAGACUGACGCUGAGGCACGAAAGCGUGGGGAUCGAACAGGAUUAGAUACCCGAGUAGUC